RNAcentral lists this ribosomal RNA (495 nucleotides) under uncultured bacterium. Its description in RNAcentral is "partial 16S ribosomal RNA". It matches the Rfam family "Bacterial small subunit ribosomal RNA", at positions 28 to 507 of the family's 1533-position model. The record is from RNAcentral.
GACGAACGCUGGCGGCGUGCCUAAUACAUGCAAGUAGAACGCUGAAGGAGGAGCUUGCUCUUCUGGAUGAGUUGCGAACGGGUGAGUAACGCGUAGGUAACCUGCCUGGUAGCGGGGGAUAACUAUUGGAAACGAUAGCUAAUACCGCAUAAGAGUAGAUGUUGCAUGACAUUUGCUUAAAAGGUGCAAUUGCAUCACUACCAGAUGGACCUGCGUUGUAUUAGCUAGUUGGUGGGGUAACGGCUCACCAAGGCGACGAUACAUAGCCGACCUGGGAGGGGGAUCGGCCACACUGGGACUGAGACACGGCCCAGACUCCUACGGGAGGCAGCAGUAGGGAAUCUUCGGCAAUGGACGGAAGUCUGACCGAGCAACGCCGCGUGAGUGAAGAAGGUUUUCGGAUCGUAAAGCUCUGUUGUAAGAGAAGAACGAGUGUGAGAGUGGAAAGUUCACACUGUGACGGUAUCUUACCAGAAAGGGACGGCUAACUACGUG